Molecule: ribosomal RNA, 224 nt
Filed under: Klebsiella variicola
Lineage: Bacteria; Pseudomonadati; Pseudomonadota; Gammaproteobacteria; Enterobacterales; Enterobacteriaceae
Description: partial 16S ribosomal RNA
Rfam family: Bacterial small subunit ribosomal RNA
Source: RNAcentral
GUAGGUGGGGUAACGGCUCACCUAGGCGACGAUCCCUAGCUGGUCUGAGAGGAUGACCAGCCACACUGGAACUGAGACACGGUCCAGACUCCUACGGGAGGCAGCAGUGGGGAAUAUUGCACAAUGGGCGCAAGCCUGAUGCAGCCAUGCCGCGUGUGUGAAGAAGGCCUUCGGGUUGUAAAGCACUUUCAGCGGGGAGGAAGGCGGUGAGGUUAAUAACCUCA